Long non-coding RNA from Brienomyrus brachyistius, 1471 nucleotides. RefSeq lists it as uncharacterized. The record is from RefSeq and is a predicted model, not a curated record. Lineage: Eukaryota; Metazoa; Chordata; Actinopteri; Osteoglossiformes; Mormyridae. The transcript has 3 exons.
GCCCUGCGGAAACGCGGCUCCCCACCGCAAAAUCUUCCAGCUUCGUCCCCUGGGGGCAGAACGUCAUUGCAGGAACUGCUCCUGUUCACCUCCAAUCUCACCAGCAUGAAGCCACCCACAAAUAGGGUACGCGCGAUUCAUUCGGCUGCCAUCCUGCAGAAACGUGAGCCGGCACGGAGCCGGAACAGAGUAGCGCGCAGAGAGGGUGACCGGCCACCCUCGGGACAGCGGCACAGACUGCGAACGCCCUCUGGUGCUUUGGAGGAUAGGCUGCAGUCCAUCCUCCUGUGACCUCUGGGUUUGCAAACUUGUUUGUAGCCAAGUGUGAAGCUGCUGAGAUGAGGAUCAGCAUCUCCAAGUCUGAAGCCAUAGUUCUCAACCAGAAAACAGUGGAUUGCCCUGUCCAAGUUGUGGAUGAAUUACUGCCACUAGUGGACAAGUUUAAAUAUCAUGGGUCUUGUUCACAAGCGCGGGAAGAAUGGAGCAGGAGAUCAACGGGCAGACUGGUGUAGCAUCAACAGUUAUGUGAGCAUUUCUGAGCCGGAAGGCAUUCCUACCCUCGCCCCUGGUCACGAGGUUUGGGAGGUGACUGAGAGAAUGAGACUGUGCAUGUGCUGGAAACAAACUCCCUCCACAGGGUUUCUGGGCUCAGCUCAACUGAAAGUACAGCCGGUUCUCCUCCGCAUUGAAAAGAGCCCAGCUGAGGUGGUUCAAGCAGCAUGCUAGGAUGUUUCCUGGACACCUCCAUGGGGAGGUGCUCCAGACCUGUGCAACUGACAGGAGACUCUGGGGAACACCCAGGACACACUAGAAAGGUAAUGUCUCUCAGCUGGCCUGGGAGCACCUGGGUUUCCCCCCGGAGGAGCUGGAGGAGGUGGCUGGGAAGAGGGAGGUCUGGGCAUCUCCGCUCAGGCUGCUGCCCCGGCUACCCGGACCCAGAAAAGUGGCAAAGAAUGGAUGGAUGGAUGGAAUAAAUUUCAAGAACUUUCUGGCUGCUGGUGGAUAGAGCACCCAAAGAAAUGAUGUAGGCAUGUUUACAUUUUCAAGGUUAAACCGAAAUAAACUGAUGGUGUAAUUUUCAUGCAGCACUGGAAAUUCAAAUAACAAUUUCAAAUUUUGUCCAAAUCGAACAUCAGUCACCAAGUGAUAUGAAACCAGUUUAUAGGUAUCAUGAUUUGCUCUGUUGCUUAAACAUGAGAUAUUUUUAUAGAAAACUGUGCAAAAGUCUUAGUCAAAGACGAUGUUUAAACCCUUUUAUGUCGGUAGUAAGUGCAUAUUUGGUGAGAAAAAAAACAAUGUAACAUUAGAACAACAAAUCAACAAUAAGAAAAUCUAAAGUAAUUUAAACGUCAUUUUCUUUUGCACAGUGCUGUAUAUUAUUAAUCACGCUGGAAAGCAAGAGUAAAUAUCAAUGGAAAAGGAGGUGCAUUGUGUAACCAUGUUACUAUUUAUAUUGAGCGCAUGUUCAAAA